This 287-nucleotide ribosomal RNA is filed under the name uncultured bacterium. RNAcentral describes it as "partial 16S ribosomal RNA". It matches the Rfam family "Bacterial small subunit ribosomal RNA", at positions 775 to 1067 of the family's 1533-position model. The record is from RNAcentral.
GGAUUAGAUACCCUGGUAGUCUACGCCGUAAACGAUGGAUACUAGUUGUUUGGUAUUUAUACUGAGUGACUAAGCGAAAGUGAUAAGUAUCCCACCUGGGGAGUACGUUCGCAAGAAUGAAACUCAAAGGAAUUGACGGGGGCCCGCACAAGCGGUGGAGCAUGUGGUUUAAUUCGAUGAUACGCGAGGAACCUUACCAGGGCUUAAAUGUAGUAUGACAGGUUUAGAGAUAGACUUUUCUUCGGACAUAUUACAAGGUGCUGCAUGGUUGUCGUCAGCUCGUGUCG